AGGACGAACGCUGGCGGCAUGCCUAACACAUGCAAGUCGAACGGAGUAAUGACUUCGGUUAUUACUUAGUGGCGAACGGGUGAGUAACACGUGAAUAAUCUGCCCUGUACGAUGGGAUAACAGCUGGAAACGGCUGCUAAUACCGUAUAUGACCACGCCGAGGCAUCUCGGAGGGGUGAAAGCGCUUAAGCGGUACAGGAUGAGUUCGCGUCCAAUUAGCUAGUUGGUGAGGUAACGGCCCACCAAGGCGACGAUUGGUAGCCGACCUGAGAGGGUGAUCGGCCACACUGGAACUGAGACACGGUCCAGACUCCUACGGGAGGCAGCAGUGGGGAAUAUUGGGCAAUGGAGGAAAAACCUCUUACCCAGCAAUGCCGCGUGAGUGAUGAAGGUCUUCGGAUUGUAAAGCCCUUUGAUUGGGGACGAAUAAAUGACGGUACCCAAGGAACAAGCCCCGGCUAACUAUGUGCCAGCCGCGGC
Molecule: ribosomal RNA, 480 nt
Filed under: uncultured bacterium
Lineage: Bacteria
Description: bacterial SSU rRNA
Rfam family: Bacterial small subunit ribosomal RNA
Source: RNAcentral